UAGCUUCAAAGUUAAACAAGUCUCCAGAUUCCUGUUCUUGGCCGUCAAGUAUAAGGGUGUUUUCUUCUUCUUGCAGUGCAGAAACUGAUGUUUUCUUUUUGAGGGAUAAGAUAAAGGGAAGUGAUGAAGGAGAAUAAGAGCAAGAAAGGUGGAGGAGUUUAAUGGGUUUUAAUGUGUUUGAAAGAUGUGGGUAGGAAAAAGAUUUGGAUUUUGUGGUGGUGGCAAAGAGGGGAGGAAGAGAAAUGAGGCAACUGUUAGUUGCCAUGGAUGAAGGCUUUAUUAUUGGCUUGAUUGCACAGGACAUUUCUCUAUGCCUCUCUAAGGAAGGGUUUCGAGUAGAAGGGUUUAGAGGAGGGACAGAGGAUAAGAUGAAGAGGACUGAGGAGAAAGGCAAACCUAGAUUUUGUUGGGGAUUUUUCUAAAGAUUUU
RNAcentral lists this long non-coding RNA (429 nucleotides) under Nicotiana tabacum (common tobacco). RNAcentral's name for it is "long non-coding RNA (NTAB_LNC001128)". Lineage: Eukaryota; Viridiplantae; Streptophyta; Magnoliopsida; Solanales; Solanaceae. The record is from RNAcentral.